GGCCUAUGCCAUUCCUGCAGCAUAUUCUAGUGAUGGUUCCCAGUUGGCAGGAUACUACGCUGCCUCUCAACCGACUGACGCUGCUCAGCCUAUCCCCACAGCAGAAUGGGUUGUUGCUCCUCCUUCCUUUGAGGAACCCGCAGCUGAUGCUGAGGUUGUCGGUGCCCUUCUCCCUCCUCCACAGCCUCUAGGACCUACCCUUCAGUCUGGGGAGACUGCCAACAUAGUAAAGGAAGCUGAACUUGGGCAUUACCAGCGGGAGACGGAGGAAUCGGGCUACCCAGCUGCCCCCACAAACCCUGGCUUUGGUGGCUUGUUGCCCUACCCUCUUGUUCCUCUUUAUGGCCUUCCCUACCCUUACCCUGCUUUUGACUACAGGCUCCUGUUUGGCCAAUAUCCUCCUGGCACCUACACUACCUUCAGUAGAAAUCAUGAGAGGGGCAGAGACUAUUCUAAGGAAAUUCACUAUCUAAAGGAACAUGUGUCUGAUGCUCCACAAACCCCCCAGAAUCCUGGACUUGGACAGCAAAAGUUCUUCCCAAGGUCACCCUAGAGCCCUGAAUGGAGGCUAAGAUGAAGUGCCCCAGUCUUGGAAGAAUCUCUUGGUAUUCUUAAAAUAAAGUAUUUUAAACAUGAC
This is a long non-coding RNA of Cyprinodon tularosa, 637 nucleotides long. RefSeq lists it as uncharacterized. NCBI's taxonomy places the organism in Eukaryota, Metazoa, Chordata, Actinopteri, Cyprinodontiformes, Cyprinodontidae. The transcript is spliced from 3 exons. The record is from RefSeq and is a predicted model, not a curated record.